UGGGGAAUAUUGCACAAUGGGCGCAAGCCUGAUGCAGCCAUGCCGCGUGUUUGAAGAAGGCCUUCGGGUUGUAAAGCACUUUCAGCGGGGAGGAAGGCGGUGAGGUUAAUAACCUCAUCGAUUGACGUUACCCGCAGAAGAAGCACCGGCUAACUCCGUGCCAGCAGCCGCGGUAAUACGGAGGGUGCAAGCGUUAAUCGGAAUUACUGGGCGUAAAGCGCACGCAGGCGGUUGAUUGAGUCAGAUGUGAAAUCCCCGGGCUUAACCCGGGAAUUGCAUCUGAUACUGGUCAGCUAGAGUCUUGUAGAGGGGGGUAGAAUUCCAUGUGUAGCGGUGAAAUGCGUAGAGAUGUGGAGGAAUACCGGUGGCGAAGGCGGCCCCCUGGACAAAGACUGACGCUCAGGUGCGAAAGCGUGGGGAGCAAACAGG
This 429-nucleotide ribosomal RNA is filed under the name Chloroflexota bacterium. RNAcentral's name for it is "Chloroflexi bacterium partial 16S ribosomal RNA". It matches the Rfam family "Bacterial small subunit ribosomal RNA", at positions 355 to 776 of the family's 1533-position model. The record is from RNAcentral. Lineage: Bacteria; Bacillati; Chloroflexota.